UUUCAUGCAUCAUGAUUAUGCAAUAGGAUGAUUGCAUUAGUUUUCACGAAUAUGCCGCAUUGCAUCAAUUGUUGUUGAUGUGGGUGAAUAUUGGAUGACCCAAUUAGUCCAUGACAGGAAGACCAGGACCCCAUUCUACGGCCUGGCACAGAGUAAGGAAAGACCAGGACCCCAUUCUACGGCCUGGCACGGUUAUGGGAC
This 201-nucleotide long non-coding RNA is filed under the name Manihot esculenta (cassava). RNAcentral describes it as "long non-coding RNA (MESC_LNC001814)". The record is from RNAcentral. Lineage: Eukaryota; Viridiplantae; Streptophyta; Magnoliopsida; Malpighiales; Euphorbiaceae.